RNAcentral lists this ribosomal RNA (254 nucleotides) under uncultured bacterium. RNAcentral's name for it is "partial 16S ribosomal RNA". It matches the Rfam family "Bacterial small subunit ribosomal RNA", at positions 524 to 776 of the family's 1533-position model. The record is from RNAcentral.
UACAGAGGGUGCAAGCGUUGUUCGGAAUUAUUGGGCGUAAAGCGCGUGUAGGCGGCCUGGCAAGUCGGGUGUGAAAGCCCUCAGCUCAACUGAGGAAGUGCGCCCGAAACUGCUAUGGCUUGAGUGCCGGAGAGGGUGGCGGAAUUCCCCAAGUAGAGGUGAAAUUCGUAGAUAUGGGGAGGAACACCGGUGGCGAAGGCGGCCACCUGGACGGUGACUGACGCUGAGACGCGAAAGCGUGGGGAGCAAACAGG